Daphnia pulex (common water flea) is the source of this 2343-nucleotide long non-coding RNA. RefSeq lists it as uncharacterized. The transcript is spliced from 7 exons. Lineage: Eukaryota; Metazoa; Arthropoda; Branchiopoda; Diplostraca; Daphniidae. The record is from RefSeq and is a predicted model, not a curated record.
ACUCAGAAAGAAACAAUUGGACUGCAAAACAUUAUGGCAGCAAGCCGUUCGUGCCCUACAUUUCACGGAAAAAAUAAAGGGUAAAACUUUAAUGAGAAUUCCAAAGGCAAACAGCUCCCGAUCCAGGGUGAAGUAAUUCUUUAAAACUUUUUAAAAAGCUAAUGACAAACAAAUUAGUAAUGCGCAAAUUACAAAGUGUUUGCAGUGUAUAUAAAAUGUCAUUAAAAACACUGCAUUAAAAAGCACAAUAAAAAUUGAUUUGAAUGGAUUUAAAUGUAGGAUUUAAUCAAUAUUUAGCCUUACUGAAAUGCCAAAAUUGGACGGUUAAUUCCAGUAUUCGUGGAAAAAAAUUUUAACUAACGUUAUUGACGGUUAAACAUAGGCUACACAAGCGUGUAAACCGUUAACGGUUUAGUAAAUUUUUAUUCAAAUCCCCACCCUAGAUGGCGAAAACGUCGAGUACCCCCCCAUCUUGCGGCAAAAUUUGUCGUCUGAUUACUGAUUAGUACCUUCUUAAUAAAAAUGGCGACCAGUCCGACCGCGUUACAGAGCAGUUACGACCUACGAUCAGUUGGAACCUGCGACUGCGAGUGACUGACAAUUCCUGCCUUUUACGAAAAGUUUUCGUCACUCACGAAUAUUCGUCGAAAACAGCCUACAGCAGUAGAUUGUUGUCGGUGAGAAGCUUCCCAACCUACCACAUUUGUUUUUGUUUUAAUUGGAGUAGUGGAGUAGCAGUCGUGAAGUGAGAAAGCAGAAAGGGAAACAGAUUUUGCGGUACCAGGCUCAGGAAAAAAGAAACCGUAGAAGUCACUUGUCGCUCAAGUUCUCCAUUAUCUAACCUUUAACCACCAAUUGCGUAAAGCACUAGAUUUUGAAACACAAACGCGAUGCAAUUUUUCUUUACGGUGAAUGAGUUAGACCGUAUCACGAAGUCAAGCAUCUAGCCCGAUGUUCAAGAUUUUCAUUAGGGCCUCAAGAAUAACUCACCGGCUUGGAUAUAUUGUCUUCCGUCAAGAAAGUUGUCUAGCCUUUAGCUAGAUCUUAAUACAAACCUUAGUCUUACACUCUACUGAUUAUAAAAGAAUUUCUAGUUCUGGAAGACCUUCUGGGAGACUUUCGCAACCCGUCCGUUAUGGAUUGCAAACUGGGAGUGCGCACUUAUCUCGAAGACGAGUUGGCAAAAGCCAAACUCAAACGGAGUAACUUUUUGUCAUGGAAAUUUUUCCUCCGGAUUUCAGGUGCAGACUGGAAAAAAAAGAAACUUCGCGACAGAUGGAGAAAAUGAAAAACGAUCACGAGGAAGCGAUCUUAACAGCCGUUCGCGAUGCUCUAAAGCCGGUCGAUAGCGAAUUAAGAGUCCCUCCAUAAAGAUCGUGAAGCCUAUCUUCUCCUUCAAAAGGAGUAUGCGGAUCACCAAACCUCACAAAACCAAUCACCAAACAACUGCAUCCUUUGGUUCAAGCCGAGUCCUCUGUUAUCGUCAAUGUCCUUUACCGACCGGAAUACCUUUUCCAGCCUGGCACGGAAGCACGGAAGAAGUGUGAUAAUGGCGGAUUCAUUCGCAGGUUGAUUAAACACACUGAACGAUUGCUGGAGGACAAGGAGGAAAAACUUUGCAUCCAAGUUCUCAACACUUUACGUCACAUGAUGAAUUUCGAUGGUGGGAAUGGCGAAAAGGGAGACGCAUUGAGAAAGAAUCUUUGAGUUCGCUACUUUGCCAAACUAGCCUCUCAUAGUUCUAAAAAGGCCGAGUUCAAUGGCGGAAGCGGAAUCUACCGCUGGAAUUCAUUCAACAUUAUCUGGUGGUACUGGUGGUGGAGGAGGCGGUGUCGGACAAUCUUCAUCGCUGACAACCCACGGACCUCGAGAGCGUCUCCUGUCGCGAGGUGAAAUGUGUUUCCACGAGGUGCAAGUGUACCUGUACUGAGCAGGCGCCUCUGAUUUGAUGGCCAUAUUGGUCAUGAAGUCGUCGUUAUCGCCAUCGUUUUCAUGGAAGCGGUCCAGUUGGGGAUCGCCCUGUUGGAAGGCGACCACCCCGUAAGCAAGCGGAGUCUCUACACGAAAUUUACUGAAAAAUAACGAUUUAAAAAAAGGAAAUUCGAUCGUUUUUCAGCUGUCAAAAGCCCCAGCUUUAGUUACUUUUAUUUUUCGUAGUUCUAAAGUCAUUUAUUGUAAUUAUUUUGAGAUUAUUUGGGGUGAUAUUUUACCGUAAGUGAUCUAGCUUCAAAGCUCACUUGUUAGAUUUUUUAUAUUUUGCGUUUAUAUCUACUUCCGGUUUCUAAAUCAGUUAAUAGUUCAGUAAGUUUGUAUGUGACACCCAAAUAAACCCAUUAUUCGUGA